GAGAUUAAAAAACAGAAGUGUUUGUGCUGGCUGGGAGGGCUCGCCUGCCAUUUGUCAGCGUCUAUGGGAGCUGGGGCUCACUUGUGAAAAUUCCCUACAAACAAAUGCUUCACUGAUGAAAAAUAUGAGGUGCCUGUGCCUUCUUCCCUUCCUGUUGAAGGAUUACUGGAGCUUUUUUGCUUUUUAUAUUUCAUCUAUGGUAUUGAGGCUUUAGUGUGCUUCUUGAGGGUUGACUUUGGCCUUUAAAAUUCUAAAAACUUGUUUGUUAUUACCAAGUAACAAUAGCUUCUUCUGUGCUUAAACUUAUAGGAACAAGGAAUUCCCUGGUUGUGUUUCCAGCUGCUGGGCUUGGAACAGGAAGUGCCUGUAACACUGGCACUGCUGUACUUGGUACACUCAGAUCUAAACUUCUAUGAAGCAGCAAAAGCAGAGAAUGAGGUGCUUUGUUAUGGGUAAUCCUAAAUCACCCUGGGUGGAAAGUUGUGGAAUAUCAUGUACCACACAUCAUAUAUCCCAAUUUUUCUAUGUACAAAAGACAGAGCGCACUUUGUUUGCUUUCCCUGAUGGGGAAUUACAACUUUGGGGUUUUGAUAACUCCCAGUUUGUCUGCCAGGAAACCUCUAAAGUUUUCUUGAUGUAACUUUAUAAAGUUUUUUAGUUUCUUACCGCUGACCCCAAAUAUCAAUGAUUCCCAGGUGCCCUCUUACUGGGGCAAAGAAGCUGUUGCCUCUCAUGUGGUAGUACAGAGUGGAUCCUGCCUGGAGGACCAAGAGAACUGACCUCAGAACUGUCCCUUCAUCUCCUUUGCUAUGGAAGCAAACAACAAGCAUCAGAAGUAAAGACCAGACACCAACAUGUUUCAUGGAAUGGUCCAGUCCUCCUAGGCACUGUACACACUGUUCUCAUUACUUUGAGGGAGGACACAGAUACUAUAAACGUCAAACAUCGUUUCUCAGAGGACUUCUGAACUUCACCAUAAACACACGAGUUUUCUGGUCUAUGCAGUAUCCCUACCGACUUCUAAACUUAUCUGAAAGAAAGCAAGGAAGCUGAAGAAGAAAAUAGAACUUUUGGAGCUGCUCUGCCCAGACUGUUGUUGUAGAGACCAACAAACAAAGGACAUCCAGUGCCUGUGAAAAUUGAGCACGUGUCCCUGGGAGCAGAGGAGUAAUAGAGCAUCACAAAAAUAGGUGAGUGUUGUGUGGGAGAAUGACAUGAGGUGGGUUUUGUACUUUUGUGCUUUUAACAGCAAGGAUAGCCUCUUUGGGUCGUUAAAGGAGUGCAUUUGUGAGGGUACACAGAAAAGUCACUUGUCUCUCUGAAUUCUUUAGUCAAUAGUUUAACUGUGGGCUUGACUCACAAAGGCCUGAUUUGGUGACAGAUGGGCAGGAAACUGAUUUUUGUUAUUUAUGUUUGCCAUGUUGUUAUUACUUAUGUAUAUGCUUACAUAUUUAAUGCUGUAAGCAUUAAGUAAAGCUACAAAAUACUUAAGCUGGAAAUAAACCAGGCUAAAGCUGUAACUUCACAAAUCCAACAGAUACCAUUGUAAAUUUUCAACGAAUACGUUUGCAAUACUGGCAGUCCUGAUUGCAAUGUGUACUGUUUAAGUGAAAAAAAAACUACAAAACUUGUUUUCUUUGUAAUGACUUCCACACCCUCUAGUGACAUGUACAAGUGUUUAUAGAUUCUUGAAAAAGUGCUGAGUUAUUUCAACUGGGAUAAUAGGAUUAGGUAAGGUAGUCUGAGUUCCCAGCGAUCCACAUGUCAAAAUGCGAGGCUUUGUUUGUCUUCCUAUUGGUUAACAGGCUCCAACUGAGGUGCUGGUUCAGGAAAUGUUUGCUUAGACACCACCUGCACGCUGGAGUGGAGUCAACUGUUGAUUAAGCAGUCUGCUAGCAACUUGGACAGAAAGCAAGGUGCUGAUGAGGGCUGUGGAUCAAAGCCAAGUGUUGGGGAUAGCAAACUUAAUCAAUGAGCUGACAGUUUGUGAAAGUUGAGUAGUGCUCUUCUGUGUGCCUUUUGGAUAAAGCUGGGGAAGAGAUUUGGUCUUUGGCAGCUGGUUAAGCAAACUUAAUUAAACUUUACUGAAAUAGGUGUCUAAAAAGCUGGAAAUCACAACCUGGAAGAAGAAAUUUUGCUGGAGGUUGCUUUUACUGGAGUGAUGACUGGCUUUAUGCAGUGCCUUAGAGGAGAGGAUCUCUGCAUAGUAAUGGGUGAUGAAGUUGUUAUUUCUUGGAUACGAAUGCCAUUUUCAGUGACAGAGAGAUGCUAUUAAUGACCAGCUGUCUAAGUACCUACUCACUAUUAAAUAUUUUUCAGUCCAGUUCCCUGUGAAAUUUCUGUGAAAAAAGCCCUUUGCCUUCCUCAGCAGCCCACCUUCUGUGUCAGUCUUGACAAGGAGCUGGAGACUGAAUUGCAUGUUUGCCCCGUAGGUGUCACCGGAGGACUAAGCAUCUGAUGUGCUUCCUGAGACCUACCUUCAGUUAAAACUAUUAUGUAAGUUACUGACUGCUUUUUUUUAAUGGUUAAUAUUUGCAUAAUGUAGUGAAGUCCAUCUGAGUUCAUCUUCUGUGGCCUUUGUCCUGCUUCUUACCCAGCAGUGACACCUACUACUCAGUUCUUGUUGCGAUAAAUGGGGAACAGAGUACCAGUUAGUCCAUAUUUGGAUGAGUAAUCUUCUUAUGCAAUAGUAAGAUUCAGUAAUACUGUGCAAGCUCUGUAUCCCUAACACAAGACCAAGUUCCAGAUACCACAGAGAUCAGCUAUGAAGAGAUAUUUAUCUAACUAUAGGCAAUUCUUAAAGAAUCUUAUGUAGUUUUUGCAGUCUUGGACUUAUUUUUAGAUGCUGGAUGACUAAAUCUGUGGGAUGUGGCACGAAAGGUGCCAUAAUGUAACUGAACUAGAAGGCAGAUUUUUAAAUCUCGUUUUCAGAAACAGCUAAGCAAUGCCCAUAGAGGUAGUUCAAAUGCCUAAAAAGUGCAGGUAAGCAUUGUGUAGGUUUUUGAAAAAUGGGUGUGUGCUACAAAACAGGGAUGCCAAAUGCCUGUAGAAGCCUCAUGUCUCUGCUGGCUUUCCAAAUCAGAUAUAAGCCUAAUUUAGGGAUGAAUUUUCCCAUAGGCAACAGGCUACUUCUAGUUCAACGCUACAGCACUUUCAGGAAAGCUGCCAAGGAAAAUCCUAAAUACCUCCCCCAAUUUUCUUGGCUGCUCACAUUUGAAAAUGGAGCUUUGGUCCCCAGAUCAAGGAUGUAUUUUCAUUAAAUUUUAAUAAAGCUUUAUUAUUGUAGAACUGAUGGCUGACUUAUAUUCCUUAUUGGAAAAAAAAAUAUUAAAUGCCUAUGGACAAGACAGUAUAUGUAGUAUAUGGUAAUGAGAUUAAUUAGUGUCUGUACUUUUCCACAAAUGAACAUUCUACAUGCUUAGUGCUUAUUUAGUUGUCCUUAAAAUAGUUUUUUUGUAGAAACUGCACUCGAAGUGUGACAGAACUUCCUUUUUGUUUCAAAUUCUUUUUUUUUUUUUUGAAUGUACACAUUAUUAGAUCCUAUAUUAAACUGUUGCAAACUGAGACAUGGACUUCAAGAUAUCAUCAAAUGCUAAAUGGAAGAUUGAACUUAUUGCUGUUCUCAUUAAUAACUUUCAUUACAGUGGAAGAAGAUCAAACUUAUCAAGAAACUAAAAAUUAUGUUCCUCACUUAUCUACAGCAUAUAUUUCCUUCCCAAAAAUCAAAUUCCUCUUCUAACAGGUUCUUGAUAUGAUCUGUUUAAAUUCCAAAUCAAGUCUUCAAGAACAGCCUAUGAAAAUGGGUAUCCAAAUCCUGAUUUCAAACAUGGCAGCAAAAGCCCGUGAUUUUAAAGGUACAGCUGGAGAGUCUAUAUGAGGUGUAAAAAUCAGUCUGUUAAACAAAUCUGAAAACUGCUAACAUCCAUAGCACUGUCUUAUUCAAUGGCAUAUGGUACAAAAAGUCUUAAAAGUGAAUGUUCUCUGUUCUGCUUUCCUUAGAACUAUUAAAGAGAAAAGAAUGCAAUUAUCUUUGAUUCAGGCAAUUCAUAUCUGGAUUUAGAUAAUGCUUUUUCUGACACCUUUCUUUACUCAUCAUUAAUAUACUCCAGCUGUAGAUGGAGUUCCAUCUGGUAAAAAAUUCUUACUUUCAAUGAUUUAAAUGUCUGAUAGUGUACUGCUGGACAGAACCAGGGCCUACAUAAUGAUUCUUCCCAUUGUAUUUCUGCUUUAUUCUCAUCACAGAAUACAAAAUAGCAUAACAGAUGGCAAGGAGGUUAAGAUCAGAAGGGGACAUAGUGAUCAUUAGCUGAGUUACUGGGUAAUACAAGCCUCAUUGUUACAGUAAAUUUUAAAUUCCGGUGUUGCUACUACAUUUCUGCCUGUAUGUUUUACUAACUAGCUGAAUGCUAGAGAGAGGACAGCAAUACUGACCAGACUAAUGUGGCCUUAAAAGAAAACCCUACAGCCAAGUGCUUUCCAACAUUCAAUCUCAUGUCACAGUGAGAUUUGCCUUGUCUACAGAGAAUAGAUUUUAGCUCUGAGCACCAUAUGAAGGCUGAAAGGACUCAGCCCACUCGUUUGCAGGUUGCUGCACCCCUACCAAGCUAAAAUAGUCUGAACUGCAACUCUGCCACAGGGUCAGUAAAAAAUUUCACUUAUUUACAGCAUUUCAGCUAUCGAGUCUAUGUAGAUAUAACACUGUCUAAUAGAAUAAAUCAAAGCAGUACUGUGGAUUAUUUUUCCUCUCUUGUACUAAAAAGAAAUAUCAUUUGUGAUUAAUUUGAAUGCAAAGAUUGUACUACUAAAUCCAGUGUCAAAAAAAUCCACGUUUUUUCUCCAAGAACUUGUCUAUACUGAAGUUUAGAGAAAUCAUAGGCCUAAAGCCAGUAACACUCAAAACAAUCUUUUCAUAACAACAAAAUAAUUUGCAGGAAGUACAGGUGAUUUAUUCAGCUGCAGAGAGCAUUGAAUCACAAAGGUAAAAAGCAUUUUAAAUGACUAAUGGUAUAGCUUUUGAUUAUUGAAUCACAAAUCUGAACUAUUGUGGCAAUAGAAAGCUCAUCAAGAAUUUGCAAGUGCAAACUGGUAGCUGAUUUACAAAUAAAAUACCAAGUCAUCAAGUAAAUUGUCAUAAAGGAAUCAUCUAAUCUAAUCUGACAAAGCAGUAGGAAAUAAUGACAACAGAAAAGCUGAGCUGCAAAGACCUCCUAAAUUUUCUCCCUCAUUAACUCUCACUGAGCUCAUUCUUGGGUUGCAAUCUCAACCCCACAUAAGUCCUGGCUACACUACACCAACUUAGAUGUAAAAAGAUGCAGACUACGCUCAUUAUGAAGCCAAUGCUUUGCAUCCAACCUUAGCAGUGUACUUAUUAACAUUACAAGUCUUUGGUGUUUUGAAAGCCAAAAGAAAG
Non-coding RNA from Phasianus colchicus (ring-necked pheasant), 5410 nucleotides. The record is from RefSeq and is a predicted model, not a curated record. Lineage: Eukaryota; Metazoa; Chordata; Aves; Galliformes; Phasianidae.